AUUGAACGCUGGCGGAAUGCUUUACACAUGCCAGUCGAGCGGCAGCGCGGCCUUCGGGCUGGCGGCGAGCGGCGAACGGGUGAGUAAUGCAUCGGAACAUGCCCAGUCGUGGGGGAUAACACUUCGAAAGAAGUGCUAAUACCGCAUACGUCCUGAUGGGGAAAGCGGGGGAUCGCAAGACCUCGCGCGAUUGGAGUGGCCGAUGUGAGAUUAGCUAGUUGGUGGGGUAAAGGCCUACCAAGGCGACGAUCUGUAGCUGGUCUGAGAGGAUGAUCAGCCACACUGGGAGUGAGACACGGCCCAGACUCCUACGGGAGGCAGCAGUGGGGAAUUUUGGACAAUGGGGGAAACCCUGAUCCAGCCAUACCGCGUGAGUGAAGAAGGCCUUCGGGUUGUAAAGCUCUUUAGGCAGGAACGAAACGGUGGGCUCUAACAUAGUCCGCUAAUGACGGUACCUGAAGAAGAAGCACCGGCUAACUACGUG
This 484-nucleotide ribosomal RNA is filed under the name uncultured bacterium. Its description in RNAcentral is "partial 16S ribosomal RNA". It matches the Rfam family "Bacterial small subunit ribosomal RNA", at positions 29 to 507 of the family's 1533-position model. The record is from RNAcentral.